Long non-coding RNA from Hypomesus transpacificus, 328 nucleotides. RefSeq lists it as uncharacterized. Lineage: Eukaryota; Metazoa; Chordata; Actinopteri; Osmeriformes; Osmeridae. The record is from RefSeq and is a predicted model, not a curated record. The transcript is spliced from 3 exons.
AAUUUUCGCUAUGUUAAACAGUAUUGACUUCUGCUAAAACGAAAGUUCAACGUGAAUUGUAGACUAAGAAGAAAGGCAAAGUGCUUGGAAAAAUAAUCGCUGCCUAAAGGAAAAACCCACUGUGUAGGGAAAGAUAAUCUGUUUUGGAUACCUCGGAGAGAGUACCGAAGAAAAAAAAGAAGUGUGCUGUCUUCGGAUGAUGAGGAUUCAGAAUGCACAGAUGAAGGUGGAGUGGUCCCUUAGCAAAUUUACGAUAAAUUGCUCCAAGGGUACCGUCAAUUAAAGAAAGAAAAAAACGGCAACUGUCAGUGGAUCUCAGAGAUCUCCA